Molecule: long non-coding RNA, 11933 nt
Filed under: Triticum aestivum (bread wheat)
Lineage: Eukaryota; Viridiplantae; Streptophyta; Magnoliopsida; Poales; Poaceae
Description: long non-coding RNA (TAES_LNC025306)
Source: RNAcentral
UGAAGCUGAGACUGUUGGCCCCUUGCUUUCAAUGCCAAUAAGAAAAGAAAAUUCAGAGAGAUACAGUUCAGAACAAACAAUUAUAGAUAGCAUCAACACCUCUUAUCAGGACCGGUUUUUCGGGAUAUUAAUUUCCCAAAAGCGGCCCUUGUGCUCACCAGCCCCAGGAUUACUGUUAGCUGAUGAGACACGAACUUGUUAUAGGAACUCCAAGAAAACUACAAAAUAUGUAGUACAAGACCAUUCUGGCCUAUGGCUACAACAAUUGGUUUCUAGUGGUUGAUGGCGGAAGCGGUUUGCGAAUCAUCAACGUUUAUGGGACUCCAUUUCCCACAGGAACAGCUGACCAGGAUAACUCCUAUCUUCGCGAGGCUGCUAUCUCCAUUGCGUAGGUUCCGGGGCUUUCAUCGCAACGUUCCUUUCCACGCAAGAAAUCUGGCCAAGACAAUAGCCAGGGACAAGCCAGUGAGUACUUUGAAUGUACUCGCAAACAUUAAGAACACAGGUAUAAUAUAGCCACUGAUAAUCAUGCUUUCAAAUAUUCCAUGAUUACUUCAGCAGUCAUAAAUGAAGCUCAUGAUGCAUGCAAGUAGGUUAAUCAUGUCAUAUAUGAAUAUGCAAUCAGCGAGUAGAAAUAGAAUGCACCGAUCGAGUGUCUGAAGCGACACCACAUAAAGGAUAACAAUAUAAAGUAUGCCUCAGUCGGGCGUCUAAGUGACACCACAUAAAGGGCUUAUAAGUAGAUAAAAUAUCAAGCAUACCCCAGUCGGGCGUCUGUGCGACGCCGCAUAAAGGGCUUAUAAGUAAAUAAAAUAACAAGCAUGCCACAGUCGGGCAUCUGUGCGACUCCACAUAAAGGGCUUAUAAGUAAAUGAAAUGACAAGCAUGCCACAGUCGGGCGUCUAUGCGACACCACAUAAAGGGCUUAUACAUACACAUAAUCACGGUGAAUAUCCAGGAGGUAGUACCGUCCUAGAAAUACUCAAUAAUUCAAAUAACAUAAAUGGUUAGUCCAUAAUAAUAAUAAUCAUAAUCAUCAUACAUCACAAGUCAUGAUCAAUAUUCUGGUUUAAUAGUUUCUCCUCCGAAGACCGACACUAAGACCGACACUUGACCCAUCCCAGACUGUAGUCCUUAACCAUGGACACGGUUAUUCGAAUAGGUUUAAUAUCUCUGUAGAGGGUGUACUCUUUACCCACGAGUAACGGAUUCCUUUAGUCCAUCGGGACUAAUUCCGUCUACGGUCUUUUAAUUGGAAACACCCUAACCGCACACACCAGCCAAACUCACCGGUGUCUGGAAUCACCCUUGACACCUAUUAAGCAAAACUCUAAGUGGGGAGGCUACAACCUCGACUAGCAUGGGAUCACAAAAUUUAUACCGCGCGCAAACUGGGGGAGCUACCCCCUUCGGCUACAACCGAAAACACCCAUGCCCCUGGACUGGAUGACUGGCUUUAAUCCAGGGCCAUGGAACCCUCAUCGCGGUCUCUCUGUACGUUGUGUGCUAGAUAGGGGUUGACAACUUACUGAACCGUACCCUACCUACGGCAGGGACAAGUGGCAGCACGAAACAAGUAUGGGGGUUACUGGAACAAGACUCGAUCUACGGCCGACUCAGGAGGCUUAAGUAUUUCCUGCAUGAUUAGCUCAAGGAUAAUAUCUCACAUCCAUCAGACACAACCACCACUCAUCAUACCUCCCCCUGCCCCGCCGGUCAUAACCGUCUCGACGAGGGACAAGCUCGUGUCUACCCAAGAAAGAGACUUUCCCGGAUCUUUCCCGGUAGGCAUGAGAGGCAUAUGAGGGUGAUUGCUAUCACAAGUAUGUCCAUUGCCAACAGCAAAAAAUUUCAUCUUUGCACUCAAAGCGUAUGAUCAUAUCGUCACGAACACAUAACGGAUACUAUGUGUCACGGUGGUGUUGUAACUGUAUUAAACAACACAGGAUAAUAUUAUGCCUGAGUUCAGAAGUGCUUGCCUUCAAGGUGUGGCGAGUCAGGGUGCAUUCCAAAACUUUGAAAGUUUUCUUCUCUCUCCCACAAAUCCUAUUCUAUUUUUGGAAAUAUUUAAAUUAACACAUAGUUUAAAAACAGUACACAAAAGUUGCUCAGAAAUUUUUGAAAUAAAUAUGAAAAUAAACUAGACAAUAUUUGAGGAACAACAGAAAAAGAUUCAAGUCAUUUGGAUUCAUAUUUUAAAAGUUAUAGCCAGUCAAAGUUUUGGUCAAAUUCUAUUUUUAAAAUAAAACAGAAAAAAGAAAAACGCUUUGAUUAGAAUACGCUUUCGAGCAGAGGAGACUUACUCUGGGGUGAUGCGCUUUCACUUAAACACGUGGACCGGUGCGGGAUCACUGACAGUGAGUCCACGGGGCCCACUGGUCAGGUUUGACCGGUCUCCUUUCCCUCUUCUUCCUCUGCCUGAGAGGGGGGCGGGACUCCGGCGAUCAUCGCCGGUGAUUGGCGUCUCCUCACGGGGCCCCGAGGGCGGGGAUGGAUCCGCCACCCAGGGAGGUCCUCCCGGUGGUCGCCAGGCCGGAGGGGACGGAGGGAGCUGCCGGCGGCGAGCUCCUCGGCGGAGGUGGCCUCGGGAGCUUUUGAGGGCCGGGGCUAUGGUGGUUCCCGAGCUGGAUUGAGGUGUUGGGCAGCUCCACAGGAUUACGGGGAUUCGAAUGGUGGCGCUAGUUUGACGGGAGGGGCUCGGGUUGUGACCGAAUGGGCUAGAGGGCGUCGGCGGCUGGUCCUGCCGGAGCUGGGGAAGAUGACCUCUUCUCUUUGAUUGUUGGCUACGGGGGAACUAGGGGAGUGGACUGAGGUCGCAUGGGUGCCCAGAUGAGCUCGGGGUCUCUCUUUAUAGUGCAACGAGGUCGGUUCCGCGGCGGCAGUGGAUAAGGUCGCCGGCGAACCGCCUCUCUAUUGCUGCAGGGGGUCGUGGCGGCGACAAGCGCUAGGGGACAUGCUUGUGGAUGAGCUCGCGCUGCUCCAGGGGGCAAGUGGCGAGCCGGGGUGGCUCGCGCGGCGCCGACCGGGGCAGGAGCCACUGUGGCCGGCCGCUUGCCGCCGUGGCCGACCUGACGGUGGCCCUGUAGGGCGCCAGGGGAGGGCUUGGCUAGUUCCUGCGAGCGGAUGAGGUCGGGGGUGCGGCUCUGCAGGAGAGCAAGGGCCAGGGCGCGACACGGCGACCCGAGCGCACGCACGUGCAAAACGUGCGCUCUGGGCGCGCCCAGAACACGCUCGCUACGUGCUUGACAAAAUGCCAGGGUAUCCUAGAGUGCUCCAAUCCACAAGAGAGUUAGUAGGGUGGGGCUAUAGGCUUGGGCAAAUCCAUGUGGCAUACUGGUCUAGUCAUUGGAUCAAGUUCAUAACACAAACCAGAAACUAAGCCAAAACUGGUCAUGCACUCAGGGUGUUUGACAAAAUGCCAAUGGCAUCUAGGCAACUAUUGGGGUGGCCAAAUUCUCCAGCUCACUGUCUCCUUGGAUGAGUAAGAGGGUGGUGAGGUUAGUUUGACAAAAUCAGAAACUUGUUAGUGCAAGUUUUGCAAAACAUCAGUUUUGGACAGAAAGAAAAAGGCAUGGUUGCAUGUACUAAAAAUUCUCCAAUGGGUCCACUCUUCUGGACUUAAGGGUUUUGUAGCAUGGGCUAUAAGCAGGAGAAAGCUCAAGAGUACUAGAGCAAAUUUAACUAGGGUUGCAGUAGAAAAAGCCAAACUGGACCAGAAAGCAAAAGAGGUUGAUUCACUCAAAUUUUUCAAAGAACAUAAAAGGGUUUCUGCAUAAAGUAUAAUAAUAUACUUCCAUUAACAUCCCAAAAUUUUGGUGGAGGCUUUAAAGAAAUAUUUAAUUAGGUUGCAGUGUAAAAAUGCUCACUGGACCAGAUUUUAAAACUUGGUGUAGAGCUCAAAAUAUUAAGUGAAUGAAUUAUAUUUUUCCGUAGAAGUGAUUCAAAAACAUCACAUGACAUCUCCAAAUUUUGGUUGGAAUUUUAGAUAAAUAUAUCAAGAGGUUGCAGUGCAAAUUGGGCCCUGAAACUAUUAAAAAAAUCAUUUCAAGGAAUAAAUCUCAGGGAGAAUUAGUUAUGCGAUUAAAUCCACUUUUAAGAGAAAUGUUUUUCUCGUGGGAGAAAACAAGUCUAGUAAUAUAUUUGGAAACUUUCACUUGGGAUAAAACUCCAUAAAAAUCCAGGAAAGGAUGGUACUAAAAUCAAAGAAAACCCAGAAAAAUGAAAAGUUUAAUUUUCCUGGCAAAAUUUUAUUAGUAAAACAAGGUUAAAAUUUUGGGGUGUCACAACACUACCCCCUUAAGAAAAAUCUCGUCCUCAAGAUUUGUUAAAAGUAGUUUUAAGAAAAUAUAUGCAAUAAAAUGUGGCUACAGUGAGAGGGCAAUAAGUGGUGUAAAAUCUCAGUGUGGAACACUGGCGCUGCGUGGAAAAAUCUACGGUUAGGGGGAAAACGAGAGAUUUCUAUGUUGGAUACAGUAAAUUUAGAAUAAAAUUCUAAAUUUAAAAUACGGUGGUCGUACCCGAGAGCACAGUGCUCUCUCCGGCUGACAGGUGGACCCGGGGCCCACUGUCAGCCUCUUCGUCUUCCUCUGGCUCUCUCUUCUUCCUCUCUCCCGCCCGCUUUCCCACGCUUUCUCCAUCGGUGACGUCUAGCGCAUAGGGCAUCUAGGUCGUACCCGCGGUAGUGCGCGGCGUGCUAGCUGCCGGUGCAGCGUGCACUCACCUCGCGGGCCAGCGUGCUGUCGGCACUGCUCGCGGAUUCGCCUCCGAACACCGGCGAUCGGGCGAUGAGCGGCGCCGGUGGACUUCGCCCACCGUACACCGAGCUCGAGCUAUAAAACGGCCGAGGUGUUCCUCUCUUCUUCCUCACAUCUGGCCUCGCUUCUCCUUCUCCUUCUUCCUCCUCCAUUUCCGUUUACAGAAGCUCAGCUGAGGCUCUAAUGGUGGAGGCGAUGCCGGACUGGUACGUGAUCCUGGUGUGUGGAGGGCUGGCGGCACUGCUGGGGCUCUUCGUGCUCCUGUGUGCGAUGAUCCUCGAUGAUCCUCGUGAUGCUGCUGCUCGAGUGCUGGCUCUCCGUGGUGGCGGUGAUCACGAGGAGUAGGUGUGGUGUUGGGUGCUAACUAUUGUCGGUAUACUGGGUAACUUGUACCCGGAUGAUUACCCACUAAUCUCCCCUUCAGAGACUAUGGUGUACUAGGGAGAUGAUUAGCCAGAUGCAGCACGGUUACAUGGUGUUGCAGGUAGUGUAUGCGUCCGAGUGGUUGUGGCUGUGGGCCUUCUGCCGUGGUGCUGCGUGAAUAAAGAUCCAUGUCGUGAGGAGAUAUAUGCCGUAGCAACUCAGGGAAAAGAAAUCUCACUCCAGGAUUUUUCGCGAGAGAAAAUUAGUUAAUCAAAAUUUAUAGCAGCAAAAGUUACUCAACAAUUGAAACCAAAAAAAAUUAUCUCACCACACAAGAUUUAGUGAAACACGCAUGAGUUACAACACUUAACUUAAUGCAGGGAAAAAAGAACAUAGCGGUGACGUCUAGAAUGAAAACGGCAACUCGACGGGGUCCCGAGAAAAUGUCUCUGGUAUUGGGGCACACUCUUCUUCUAUCGAGGGAAGUGGGUUGAUCAGUCGAUGAACGCGUCUCUCCUGGCCGGGCCUUAGUGGUCUGCCGAUGGCGAUCUGAGGAUUUAAAUCAGCGAGGCUCUGGAGAUAACUCAUCACUCGCUGGGUCAAACGCUCUUGAGCGAUGACAUACCGGACAAGGUUGGCUAGUACGGGGUCUCUCUCAAUUCUUCCACCGGGGAAGGAUGCUACUUCUCCGGGUGCUGCACGGCUCGGAAAGUAAUAAUACCCUCGUUCGCUGGCAUAGGGUACCGUGAAUCGAAGGCGAACAAUCGCUUCGUGUGCAGCCGCUUCUAUGGCCAUCUGAGGAGUUGGCAUAGAUUUCCCCAGGAAGGAGACUUCCAUUGGGUCUUGAUUUGAGUCUACGGGAGGGAUGUGCACUACUGCCCAAUAUUUCGAGGCGGAUGAGGUGAUCCUCGACUUGAGUAGCUCGUACUGGGGUGGCUGGGUAGAACCCAUGGUACUGCAGGUAAAGUCCCACAAUAUUCUAACAAAACUACUCGGGGUUGCAUCUGGGGUUCUCAGAUAAAUUCUAGGGCUCGGCAUGGCAAGAAAUGGUUGUGAGGGUUGCGCACAAGAUGAGGGGUACUCGGCAAGAUCACAAGGUGGUUAUUUAUAUAGCCUCCAGGCUGGGUUAUUUACUGCGGUGAAGGGCAACUAGUUUUCUGGUUCUACUAUCAUGGGGGUCGGGGUCAAAGCCACAGAUACACACAUCUCACAAAAGUGACGUGUUACUGUGGGUGCCGUCGGGGUUGGUUUUGGUAGCUACGCCCGGAAUUAAAAAUGUAACCGUAUAUCAAUACAACUACUAUUUAAAUUAGGGGCGCACAGGCAGGCAACGUUGUGGCGAUACAAGGUCACACAAUUUACAGGGCGUGGGGUAUGCUAAGACUUGGUACUACUCGAGUGGCUUAGUCCACCUCGUUUAUAUCUAAGCGGGCGUGCCUUUUGGAUGUCGAGGCUUCUCCAUUGGCCUCACCGUCGGGAUUGGCUGGAAGGGGUUGAGGGACUGCAGGGUCGGGGUAGCGAUGAUGACCAUCGCGGGGAUAGUUGGCCACAAUCCCGUUGGAGUGUGUUCCCAAAAGGCGACGAAGCACUUCUGGGGUCAUCAAAGCACCUUGGUUGAUGGCUGGGGCUAACCUCAAGGUCUCGAUCGGUUGUCCAAACAGCACGACUGGAUUGUCGGCGUCGGGCUCAUCUUCUCUUCUUGUUGGGGCUCUGCGGAUCAGUUCUCCAUGAGCUGCGAUCAUAUCAAGGGUGAUUUGAUCGAACAACCCCUCUAGUGCACUUACAUAGCGCACCAGAUGCAACAAUGCAUGGUCCAACUCGUGGUCUCCGUUGGCAACUUGGGGUGGCCUACCAUACCCGUCAGGGCUGGGGUAGUAGUAGAAUGAGCGACAGUUAACUCUGGGCGACAAGUGCCGGAGUUGAACUAUAGCUUCUCGAGAAGCUAGUUGGAUGGCUUGUGGCUCAAAGGAAGUUGUCCUUCCGGUGAACCUGUAGGGGUGUUCUGGCGAUAGAUCCCUACCAUAGAUGUGCACAGUGGCCCAAAAUUGACGGCUCUCACCGCUCAUGGACCCUUGGUACACAACAUAUUCUGGGGGCUCUUCUAAUGCGAAGGCACCGCGGGUGAGGUUUGCUAGCACGGUCACGAAACCUCCAAGGUUGGUUGUUGUGGUCUCAUUGUGAACAAUGGGACCAGGCAUUAUGGCUUGGUGUAGGGUAGAGGCUGUGCUGUGCUGGGUUGAGGCUAGCGUGCCCUUUUAUAGAAAAAGGGAAUGGAGUCUUCCUUCGCACGCUUGCGAGAAAGACUAUUUAUGGGCCGGUCACUGGCGCGUGAUCGACAGGCUAGGCGGGUAGGUUGGGCAUCGACUGCCAAAAAGGUGUCGGGCUCAUUGUGUGGCUAUCUUACACGAGAAGCCUGGUCGGGGUGUGGUUAAGGUCUGGUGGGUUGGUUUACCUAGGUUUUUCGAUCUGGCUAAGAUAGGAUUAGUCAAUGGUCAGCCUGGCUCUGAUACCAAGAUUGUCAGGACCGGUUUUUCGGGAUAUUAGUUUCCCAAAAGCGGCCCUUGUGCUCACCAGCCCCAGGAUUACUGUUAGCUGAUGAGACACCAACUUGUUAUAGAAACUCCAAGCAAACUAGAAAAUAUGUAGUACAAGACCAUUCUGGCCUAUGGGUACAACAAUUGGUUUCUAGUGGUUGAUGGCGGAAGCGGUUUGCGAAUUAUCAGCGUUUAUGGGACUCCAUUUCCCACAGGAAUAGCUGACCAGGAUAACUCCUAUCUUCGCGAGGCUGCUAUCUCCAUUGCGUAGGUUUCGGGGCUGUCAUCGCAACGUUCCUUUCCACGCAAGAAAUCUGGCCAAGACAAUAGCUAGGGACAAGCCAGUGAGUACUUUGAAUGUACUCGCAAACAUUAAGAACACAGGUAUAAUAUAGCCACUGAUAAUCAUGCUUUGAAAUAUUCCAUGAUUACUUCAUCAGUCAUAAAUGAAGCUCAUGAUGCAUGCAAGUAGGUUAAUCAUGUCAUAUAUGAAUAUGCAAUCAGCGAGUAGAAAUAGAAUGCACCGAUCGGGUGUCUGAAGCAACGCCUCGAAAGGAUAACAGUAUAAAGUAUGCCUCAGUCGGGCGUCUAAGCGACACCACAUAAAGGGCUUAUAAGUAGAUAAAAUAUCAAGCAUGCCACAGUCGGGCGUCUGUGCGACACCGCAUAAAGGGCUUAUAAGUAAAUAAAAUAACAAGCAUGCCACAGUCGGGCGUCUGUGCGACACCACAUAAAGGGCUUAUAAGUAAAUGAAAUGACAAGCAUGCCACAGUCGGGCGUCUAUGCGACACCACAUAAAGGGCUUCUAUAUACAGAUAAUCACGGUGAAUAUCCAGGAGGUAGUACCGUCCCAGAGAUACUCAAUAAUUCAAAUAACAUAAAUGGUUAGUCCAUAAUAAUAAUAAUCAUAAUCAUCAUACAUCACAAGUCAUGAUCAAUAUUCUGGUUUAAUAGUUUCUCCUCCGAAGACCGACACUAAGACAGACACUUGACCCAUCCCAGACUGUAGUCCUUAACCAUGGACACGGCUAUUCAAAUAGGUUUAAUAUCUCUGCAGAGGGUGUACUCUUUACCCACGAGUAACGGAUUCCUUUAGUCCAUCGGGACUAAUUCCGUCUACGGUCUUUUAAUUGAAAACACCCUAACCACACACACCAUCCAAACUCACCGGUGUCUGGAAUCACCCUUGACACAUGUUAAGCAAAACUCUAAGUGGGGAGGCUACAACCUCGACUAGCAUGGGAUCACAAAAUUUAUACCGCACGCAAACUGGGGGAGCUACCUCCUUCGGCUACAACCGAAAACACCCAUGCCCCCGGACCAGAUGACUGGCUUUAAUCCAGGGCCAUGGAACCCUCAUCGCGGUCUCUCUGUAUGGUGUGUGCUAGACAGGGGUUGACAACUUACUGAACCGUACCCUACCUACGGCAGGGACAAGUGGCAGCACGAAACAAGUAUGGGGGUUACUGGAACAAGACUCGAUCUACGGCCGACUCAGGAGGCUUAAGUAUUUCCUGCAUGAUUAGCUCACGGAUAAUAUCUCACAUCCAUCAGACACAACCACCACUCAUCAUACCUCCCCCUGCCCCCUGGUCAUAACCGUCUCGACGAGGGACAAGCUCGUGUCUACCCAAGACAGAGACUUUCCCGGAUCUUUCCCGGUAGGCAUGAGAGGCAUAUGAGGGUGAUUGCUAUCACAAGUAUGUCCAUUGCCAACAGCACAAAUUUUCAUCUUUGCACUCAAAGCGUAUGAUCAUAUCGUCACAAACACAUAACGGAUACUACGUGUCACGGUGGUGUUGUAACUGUAUUAAACAACACACGAUAAUACUAUGCCUGAGUUCAGAAAUGCUUGCCUUCAAGGUGUGGAGAGUCAGGGUGCAUUCCAAAACUUUGAAAGUUUUCUUCUCUCUCCCACAAAUCCUAUUCUAUUUUUGGAAAUAUUUAAAUUAACACAUAGUUUAAAAACAGUACACAAAAGUUGCUUGGAAAAUUUUGAAAUAAAUAUGAAAAUAAACUAGACAAUAUUUGAGGAACAACAGAAAAAGAUUCAAGUCAUUUGGAUUCAUAUUUUAAAAGAUAUAGCCAGUCAAAGUUUUGGUCAAAUUUUGUUUUUAAAAAUAAAACAGAAAAAAGAAAAACGCUUCGAUUAGAAUACGCUUUCGAGCAGAGGAGACGUACUCUGGGGUGAUGCGCUUUCACUUAAACACGUGGACCGGUGUGAGGUCACUGACAGUGCGUCCACGGGGCCCACUGGUCAGGUUUGACCGGUCUCCUUUCCCUCUUCUUCCUCUGCCCGAGAGGGGGGCGGGACUCCGGCGAUCGUCGCCGGCGAUUGGCAUCUCCUCGCAGGGCCCCGAGAGCGGGGAUGGAUCCGCCACCCCAGGAAGGUCCUCCUGGUGGUCGCCAGGCCGGAGGGGAAGGAGGGAGCUGCCGGCGGCGAGCUCCUGGGCGGAGGUGGCCUCGGGAGCUUUUGAGGGCCGGGGCUAUGGUGGUUCCCGAGCUGGAUUGAGGUGUUGGGAAGCACGUGAUCACGGGGAUUUGAAUGGUGGCGCUAGUUUGACGGGAGGGGCUUGGGUUGUGACCGAAUGGACUGGAGGGCGUCGGCGGCUGGUCCUGCCGGAGCUGGGGAAGAUGACCUCUUCUCUUCGAUUGUUGGCUAUGGGGGAACUAGGGGAGUGGACUGAGGUCGCAUGGGUGCUCAGAUGAGCUCGAGGUCUCCCUUUAUAGUGCAACGAGGUCGGUUCCGCGGCGGCAGUGGAUAAGGUCGCCGGCGAACCGCCUCUCUAUUGCUGCAGGGGGUCGUGGCUGCGACAAGCGCUAGGGGACACACUUGUGGAUGAGCUCGCGCUGCUCCAGGGGGCAGGUGGCGAGCCGGGGUGGCUCGGGCGGCGCCGACCGGGGCAGGAGCCACUAUGGCCGGCCGCUUGCCGCCGUGGCCGACCUGACGGCGGCCCUGUAGGGCGCCAGGGGAGGGCUUGGCUGGUUCCUGCGAGCGGAUGAGGUCGGGGGUGCGGCUCUGCAGGAGAGCAAGGGCCGGGGCGCGACGCGGCAACCCAAGCGCACGCACGUGCAAAACGCGCGCUCUGGGCGCGCCCAGAGCACGCUCGCUACGUGCUCGACAAAAUGUCAGGGUAUCGUAGAGUGCUCCAAUCCACAAGAGAGUUAGCAGGGUGGAGCUAUAGGCUUGGGCAAAUCCAUGUGACAUGCUGGUCUAGUCAGGGGAUCAAGUUCAUAACACAAACCAGAAACUAAGCCAAAACUGGUCAUGCACUCAGGGUGUUUGACAAAAUGCCAAUGGCAUCUAGGCAACUCUUGGGGUGGCCAAAUUCUCCAGCUCACUGUCUCCUUGGAUGAGUAAGAGGGUGGUGAGGUUAGUCUGACAAAAUCAGAAACUUGUUAGUGCAAGUUUUGCAAAACAUCAGUUUUGGACAGAAAGAAAAAGGCAUGGUUGCAUGUACUAAAAAUUCUCCAAUGGGUCCACUCUUCUGGACUUAAGGGUUUUGUAGCAUGGGCUAUAAGCAGGAGAAAGCUCAAGAGUACUAGAGGAAAUUUAACUAAGGUUGCAGUAGAAAAAGCCAAACUGGACCAGAAAGCAAAAGAGGUUGAUUCACUCAAAUUUUUCAAAGAACAUAAAAGGGUUUCUGCAUAAAGUAUAAUAAUAAUAUACUUCCAUUAACAUCCCAAAAUUUUGGUGGAGGCUUUAAAGAAAUAUUUAAUUAGGUUGCAGUGUAAAAGUGCUCACUGGACCAGAUUUUAAAACUUGGUGUAGAGCUCAAAAUAUUAAGUGAAUGAAUUAUAUUUUUCCAUAAAAGUGAUUCAAAAACAUCACAUGACAUCUCCAAAUUUUGGUUGGAAUUUUAGAUAAAUAUAUCAAGAGGUUGCAGUGCAAAUUGGGCCCUGAAACUGUUAAAAAAAUCAUUUCAAGGAAUAAAUCUCAGGGAGAAUUAGUUAUGCGAUUAAAUCCACUUUUAAGAGAAAUGUUUUUCUCGAGGGAGAAAACAAGUCCAGUAAUAUAUUUGGAAACUUUCGCUUGGGAUAAAACUCCAUAAAAAUCCAAGAAAGGAUGGUAUUGAAAUCAAAGAAAACCCAGAAAAAUGAAAAGUUUAAUUUUGCUGGCAAAAUUUUAAUUAGUAAAACAAGGUUAAAAUUUUGGGGUGUCACACCUCUAGAUGGAAGUUCAAAGACAAAUGCCCCUGCCGUUCUCACUCUCUGUCUGCAACAGUAAUGCACACAUUAGGACAGCCGGAAGGGAGAAAUCUUGUCGCUGCCAUAACCUACA